This 771-nucleotide unclassified non-coding RNA is filed under the name Hevea brasiliensis (rubber tree). The record is from RNAcentral. Lineage: Eukaryota; Viridiplantae; Streptophyta; Magnoliopsida; Malpighiales; Euphorbiaceae.
GCAAUCAUCCCAUGUACGGUUCUUCUGGAGACACUUUUCUUUAGGAAGAGAUUCAGGUCUGUCUUAACUGCGCAUCUGUGCUUGACACGAUGAGUAUAUAAUUUAUUAAUUCAGGUAUAUAAAUGGUGUCAGUUUCUGUGGUUAGUUCAACCUCUUACGCCCACAGCAAUUUGGAGAUUGGAGUUGACUGCAGUUUAAUUUUGUGGGGGUUUGAAAUGGUUGUUAAUACUUAACUGGAAAAUGAAAAUAAAUAAAAUACAGACUAGAUUGCUUGAAGGUAUAUACAGCUUAUAGGGACCCUUAGUUAAUUCAUCCAACUAUUUUGUUCCCCAGAAAGUGAAACUUCUCCCUAGAUGACAGCGUUUGAAGAUUCUUUAAUUGAUUGUUUUAUUAGAGACGGACUCACAGUUGAAAAGAGCCAUAUAUAUCUUGUCUUCAAUUUGGAUCAAAUCUUUACUCCUUUCACCUGUGCUUGUCUCAGUUAGAGAUCUAUUGAUCCCUUCAUGCAUGCAUCUUCUUCAUGUAUCAGAUUUUUGUAAAGCUUUUGCCUGCAAAACGUGUUCAAGUUAAUAUAAAUCUGCUAGUUUUUAGGUCAUAGCAUUUACCAUGUUGCCAUACUGUGUUGUUACUUGAUUGAGGAAAAAGAAUUCAAUUUUCAUUUAGCUAUUCUUGUCAAAGUUGUUUAUUUGUUGCAUUUGUGUGCUCAUAAUUGCAUUCUUGCAGCCAGAAUAUCCAGCUUUCACUGGUGAUCCUUCUUGUGGGUGUUGGAAU